Non-coding RNA from Erinaceus europaeus (western European hedgehog), 193 nucleotides. The record is from Rfam. Lineage: Eukaryota; Metazoa; Chordata; Mammalia; Eulipotyphla; Erinaceidae.
AUCGCUUCUCGGUCUUUUGGCUAAGAUCAAGUGUAGUAUCUGUUCUUAUCAGUUUAACAUCUGAUACGUCCUGUAUCCGAGGAUAAUAUAGUAAAGGAAUUUUUGGAACAGGGAGUUGGAAUUGCUCCAUCCGCUCCACGCAUGGUACUCCUCGACCUGGUACUGUAGUGCUUCCAGGAAUGGUGUGCUCCAU